CGGACGGGUGAGUAACGCGUGAGAAUUCGCCUUUAGGCGGGGAAUAACUAUAGGAAACCAUAGCUAAUGCCCCAUAUGCUCGCAAAGAGUGAAAGGAGCAAUCCACCCAAAGAGAAGCUCGCGGCUGAUUAGCUAGUUGGUAAGGUAAUGGCUUACCAAGGCGACGAUCAGUAGCUGGUUUGAGAGAACGAUCAGCCACACUGGAACUGAGACACGGUCCAGACUCCUACGGGAGGCAGCAGUGGGGAAUUUUCCGCAAUGGGCGAAAGCCUGACGGAGCAAUACCGCGUGAGGGAUGACGGCCUUGGGGUUGUAAACCUCUUUUAUCAAGGAGGAAGUUCUGACGUGUACUUGAUGAAUAAGCAUCGGCUAACUCCGUGCCAGCAGCCGCGGUAAGACGGAGGAUGCAAGUGUUGUCCGGAAUCACUGGGCGUAAAGCGUCUGUAGGUGGUUUAAAAAGUCUGCUGUUAAAAAUUGAAGCUUAACUUCAAAGAUGCCGUAGAAACUUUUAAACUUGAGGAUGGUAGGGGUAGAGGGAAUUUCCAGUGGAGCGGUGAAAUGCGUAGAUCUUGGAAAGACCACCAAUGGCGAAGGCACUCUACUGGGCCAUUACUGACACUGAGAGACGAAAGCUAGGGGAGCAAAUGGGAUUAGAUACCCCAGUAGUC
RNAcentral lists this ribosomal RNA (668 nucleotides) under uncultured bacterium. RNAcentral's name for it is "bacterial SSU rRNA". It matches the Rfam family "Bacterial small subunit ribosomal RNA", at positions 99 to 795 of the family's 1533-position model. The record is from RNAcentral.